AAUAUAUGGGUGGUUCUGGGAUUAGGACCGUGAGAUAUGACGCAUGUAUAAUCCUCAGACAUCUCCAUUUCCCUAACGGGCAGGCAUCCAUUGAAGACCCGAGGAGAAUCCUUCAUAUGGAUACCGUAAUUGGGAGAGGCAAAUGCAGGUGUCAAAUGUGAAUUCCUGGUCUUGAUUCCAAAAUCAGUGGGAGAAGUAGUUGGAGAGACUAAGGAAGGUGGGAGUAUUGGUGGAAUCUGAACUCUGAGCUCGGUCCCAAACAAGACCUUUUUCUUAUUACUUGCCUCGCAGCAACUCUUAUCUUCAGUUUGGUUAUUGUUAAGGAAUGUAUCAACUAUAGCAAGAGCAAUACCUU
This 355-nucleotide long non-coding RNA is filed under the name Gossypium barbadense (sea-island cotton). RNAcentral describes it as "long non-coding RNA (GBAR_LNC010042)". Lineage: Eukaryota; Viridiplantae; Streptophyta; Magnoliopsida; Malvales; Malvaceae. The record is from RNAcentral.